This 455-nucleotide ribosomal RNA is filed under the name uncultured bacterium. RNAcentral's name for it is "bacterial SSU rRNA". It matches the Rfam family "Bacterial small subunit ribosomal RNA", at positions 10 to 507 of the family's 1533-position model. The record is from RNAcentral.
AGUUUGAUCCUGGCUCAGGAUAAACGCUGGCGGCGUGCCUAACACAUGCAAGUCGAACGAUCCCGCAAGGGAGAGUGGCGGAAGGGUGAGUAACACGUGGGAAUCUACCUCCUCGCAGGGAACAACCUCUCGAAAGAGAGGCUAAUACCCAAAAGGGUCAGAAAUGAUCAGAGUCGAAAGGCGUGAGGAGAGGAGCCCGCGGCCCAUCAGCUAGUUGGUGAGGUAAUGGCUUACCAAGGCUACGACGGGUAGGGGAUCUGAGAGGAUGUCCCCCACACUGGAACUGAAACACGGUCCAGACGCCUACGGGUGGCAGCAGUGAGGAAUGUUGGACAAUGGGCGAAAGCCCGAUCCAGCAACGCCGCGUGGAGGAUGAAGGCCUUCGGGUCGUAAACUUCUUUAGAGGGAGACGAGAAAGGACGGUAUCCCUAGAAUAAGCGACGGCAAACUACGUG